GUUAAGCGACUAAGCGUACACGGUGGAUGCCCUGGCAGUCAGAGGCGAUGAAGGACGUGCUAAUCUGCGAUAAGCGUCGGUAAGGUGAUAUGAACCGUUAUAACCGGCGAUUUCCGAAUGGGGAAACCCAGUGUGAUUCGUCACACUAUCAUUAACUGAAUCCAUAGGUUAAUGAGGCGAACCGGGGGAACUGAAACAUCUAAGUACCCCGAGGAAAAGAAAUCAACCGAGAUUCCCCCAGUAGCGGCGAGCGAACGGGGAGCAGCCCAGAGCCUGAAUCAGUGUGUGUGUUAGUGGAAGCGUCUGGAAAGGCGCGCGAUACAGGGUGACAGCCCCGUACACAAAAAUGCACAUGCUGUGAGCUCGAUGAGUAGGGCGGGACACGUGGUAUCCUGUCUGAAUAUGGGGGGACCAUCCUCCAAGGCUAAAUACUCCUGACUGACCGAUAGUGAACCAGUACCGUGAGGGAAAGGCGAAAAGAACCCCGGCGAGGGGAGUGAAAAAGAACCUGAAACCGUGUACGUACAAGCAGUGGGAGCACGCUUAGGCGUGUGACUGCGUACCUUUUGUAUAAUGGGUCAGCGACUUAUAUUCUGUAGCAAGGUUAACCGAAUAGGGGAGCCGAAGGGAAACCGAGUCUUAACUGGGCGUUAAGUUGCAGGGUAUAGACCCGAAACCCGGUGAUCUAGCCAUGGGCAGGUUGAAGGUUGGGUAACACUAACUGGAGGACCGAACCGACUAAUGUUGAAAAAUUAGCGGAUGACUUGUGGCUGGGGGUGAAAGGCCAAUCAAACCGGGAGAUAGCUGGUUCUCCCCGAAAGCUAUUUAGGUAGCGCCUCGUGAAUUCAUCUCCGGGGGUAGAGCACUGUUUCGGCAAGGGGGUCAUCCCGACUUACCAACCCGAUGCAAACUGCGAAUACCGGAGAAUGUUAUCACGGGAGACACACGGCGGGUGCUAACGUCCGUCGUGAAGAGGGAAACAACCCAGACCGCCAGCUAAGGUCCCAAAGUCAUGGUUAAGUGGGAAACGAUGUGGGAAGGCCCAGACAGCCAGGAUGUUGGCUUAGAAGCAGCCAUCAUUUAAAGAAAGCGUAAUAGCUCACUGGUCGAGUCGGCCUGCGCGGAAGAUGUAACGGGGCUAAACCAUGCACCGAAGCUGCGGCAGCGACGCUGAUGCGUUGUUGGGUAGGGGAGCGUUCUGUAAGCCUGUGAAGGUGUGCUGUGAGGCAUGCUGGAGGUAUCAGAAGUGCGAAUGCUGACAUAAGUAACGAUAAAGCGGGUGAAAAGCCCGCUCGCCGGAAGACCAAGGGUUCCUGUCCAACGUUAAUCGGGGCAGGGUGAGUCGACCCCUAAGGCGAGGCCGAAAGGCGUAGUCGAUGGGAAACAGGUUAAUAUUCCUGUACUUGGUGUUACUGCGAAGGGGGGACGGAGAAGGCUAUGUUGGCCGGGCGACGGUUGUCCCGGUUUAAGCGUGUAGGCUGGUUUUCCAGGCAAAUCCGGAAAAUCAAGGCUGAGGCGUGAUGACGAGGCACUACGGUGCUGAAGCAACAAAUGCCCUGCUUCCAGGAAAAGCCUCUAAGCAUCAGGUAACAUCAAAUCGUACCCCAAACCGACACAGGUGGUCAGGUAGAGAAUACCAAGGCGCUUGAGAGAACUCGGGUGAAGGAACUAGGCAAAAUGGUGCCGUAACUUCGGGAGAAGGCACGCUGAUAUGUAGGUGAAGCGACUUGCUCGUGGAGCUGAAAUCAGUCGAAGAUACCAGCUGGCUGCAACUGUUUAUUAAAAACACAGCACUGUGCAAACACGAAAGUGGACGUAUACGGUGUGACGCCUGCCCGGUGCCGGAAGGUUAAUUGAUGGGGUCAGCGCAAGCGAAGCUCUUGAUCGAAGCCCCGGUAAACGGCGGCCGUAACUAUAACGGUCCUAAGGUAGCGAAAUUCCUUGUCGGGUAAGUUCCGACCUGCACGAAUGGCGUAAUGAUGGCCAGGCUGUCUCCACCCGAGACUCAGUGAAAUUGAACUCGCUGUGAAGAUGCAGUGUACCCGCGGCAAGACGGAAAGACCCCGUGAACCUUUACUAUAGCUUGACACUGAACAUUGAGCCUUGAUGUGUAGGAUAGGUGGGAGGCUUUGAAGUGUGGACGCCAGUCUGCAUGGAGCCGACCUUGAAAUACCACCCUUUAAUGUUUGAUGUUCUAACGUUGACCCGUAAUCCGGGUUGCGGACAGUGUCUGGUGGGUAGUUUGACUGGGGCGGUCUCCUCCUAAAGAGUAACGGAGGAGCACGAAGGUUGGCUAAUCCUGGUCGGACAUCAGGAGGUUAGUGCAAUGGCAUAAGCCAGCUUGACUGCGAGCGUGACGGCGCGAGCAGGUGCGAAAGCAGGUCAUAGUGAUCCGGUGGUUCUGAAUGGAAGGGCCAUCGCUCAACGGAUAAAAGGUACUCCGGGGAUAACAGGCUGAUACCGCCCAAGAGUUCAUAUCGACGGCGGUGUUUGGCACCUCGAUGUCGGCUCAUCACAUCCUGGGGCUGAAGUAGGUCCCAAGGGUAUGGCUGUUCGCCAUUUAAAGUGGUACGCGAGCUGGGUUUAGAACGUCGUGAGACAGUUCGGUCCCUAUCUGCCGUGGGCGCUGGAGAACUGAGGGGGGCUGCUCCUAGUACGAGAGGACCGGAGUGGACGCAUCACUGGUGUUCGGGUUGUCAUGCCAAUGGCACUGCCCGGUAGCUAAAUGCGGAAGAGAUAAGUGCUGAAAGCAUCUAAGCACGAAACUUGCCCCGAGAUGAGUUCUCCCUGACUCCUUGAGAGUCCUGAAGGAACGUUGAAGACGACGACGUUGAUAGGCCGGGUGUGUAAGCGCAGCGAUGCGUUGAGCUAACCGGUACUAAUGAACCGUGAGG
RNAcentral lists this ribosomal RNA (2894 nucleotides) under Escherichia coli. RNAcentral describes it as "partial 23S ribosomal RNA". It matches the Rfam family "Bacterial large subunit ribosomal RNA". The record is from RNAcentral. Lineage: Bacteria; Pseudomonadati; Pseudomonadota; Gammaproteobacteria; Enterobacterales; Enterobacteriaceae.